Molecule: ribosomal RNA, 514 nt
Filed under: Salmonella enterica
Lineage: Bacteria; Pseudomonadati; Pseudomonadota; Gammaproteobacteria; Enterobacterales; Enterobacteriaceae
Description: partial 23S ribosomal RNA
Rfam family: Bacterial large subunit ribosomal RNA
Source: RNAcentral
AGCCCCGUACACAAAAGCGCAUGUGCUGUGAGCUCGAUGAGUAGGGCGGGACACGUGGUAUCCUGUCUGAAUAUGGGGGGACCAUCCUCCAAGGCUAAAUACUCCUGACUGACCGAUAGUGAACCAGUACCGUGAGGGAAAGGCGAAAAGAACCCCGGCGAGGGGAGUGAAAAAGAACCUGAAACCGUGUACGUACAAGCAGUGGGAGCACCCUUUGGGGUGUGACUGCGUACCUUUUGUAUAAUGGGUCAGCGACUUAUAUUCUGUAGCAAGGUUAACCGAAUAGGGGAGCCGGAGGGAAACCGAGUCUUAAUUGGGCGUUAAGUUGCAGGGUAUAGACCCGAAACCCGGUGAUCUAGCCAUGGGCAGGUUGAAGGUUGGGUAACACUAACUGGAGGACCGAACCGACUAAUGUUGAAAAAUUAGCGGAUGACCUGUGGCUGGGGGUGAAAGGCCAAUCAAACCGGGAGAUAGCUGGUUCUCCCCGAAAGCUAUUUAGGUAGCGCCUCGUGAA